Molecule: long non-coding RNA, 983 nt
Organism: Anopheles merus
Lineage: Eukaryota; Metazoa; Arthropoda; Insecta; Diptera; Culicidae
Exons: 3
Source: RefSeq, a predicted model, not a curated record
UGCGCUUGAUCGGACUUUCUCUUUCUAAUCUGCAAUCCUGUUCUCACGUGGACGGUCAACUCAAAACCGAGCGAAGAGUGUUGUGUAACUGAAGUCAACGAUAGAGCAGCCGAGCAAUUUUGAACAUUUUUAACGGUGCAGAUUUGUUUGGGAAACAGGAGCAGAACAAACACACAAUUUGCAAUUGCAUCUAUUCGAAUCAAGACAUACUGUGAAUGACAUCCGUUACGCUGGAGCAUCUUGUGAUGAGGACCCUUCAACGCGUCAACAGGUGAUUAUUACAGCGGCAUUUUAUCAAAAUUUCAUGGUAACGAAACGCUGAUUAACAAUAAUGGUGUUAUGAUGGAAAAUUUAAAAACUACUCAAAAUAACGUUUUACACCGUUUUUUCUUAGUGAAAUGAUUGCGUAUGCUACCGAUAGUUUUUGGUACUAAAAAUAGCUAUUUAAAAGUGGAAGGUUUACUAUCAUUGAUAGUAUAUUUUUCAGAUUUACCACUUUUCUCGAAAAAGUUAUUAAGGGUUAAUUAUAUACCAAGAUUUUUCUUAUUUGCCAAAAAUAAGGGAUGAAAAAUGUCAUAUAAUAGAUUAUUAUAAAUUGAAACAAUAUCUGUUUGUAUAGAUUAUCUAAGAAAUCAGCAGAUAUGUGGAAAUACAGAAAUAAAAGGAAGCACAUAAGAAAUAAAAGAUCUGACCAAGCACAUUUGUAUUAGGUCAUUGAACGUCACCAUUUGGCCCGCAGAGGGGGAAUGCGUGGAAAAAUCACCACAGACGGCGACGGACCGGACGGACUGGAAGGACCAGGUUGACAGAAAGGUUAGCCGCUGACAUACUUCCCGGCACACUUUGGCUUGCCAGCGGAAACGCGUUUUCUAAUGGUAAGAUGCUUCAGACGGUUUUAAAACUUGGCACAACCUUGACUGAUGACAGGUUGACAGAUUGCUAAGAAUAAGCACGGAGAUUGUUAAAAUUAAUUACUCAUCAAA